Molecule: ribosomal RNA, 482 nt
Filed under: uncultured bacterium
Lineage: Bacteria
Description: partial 16S ribosomal RNA
Rfam family: Bacterial small subunit ribosomal RNA
Source: RNAcentral
GACGAACGCUGGCGGCGUGCCUAACACAUGCAAGUCGAACGGAACUGUUUUGAAAGAUUUUUUCGGGAUGAAUGUGAUUUAGUUUAGUGGCGGACGGGGGAUUAAGCCUUGAUUAACCUGCCUUUAAGGGGGGAAUAACAUUCUGAAAAGAAUGCUAUUACCGCAUGACAUAUCGUAACGACUGGGUCUUGGUGUCAAAGAUUGUAUCGCUUGAAGAUGGACUCGCGUCCGUUUAGUGAGUUGGUGAGGUAACGGCUCACCAAGACCGCGAUCGGUAGCCGGACUGAGAGGGGGGACGGCCAAAUUGGGAAUGAGGCACGGCCCAGACCUCUAAGGGAGGCAGCAGUGGGGGAUAAUGCGAAAUGGGGGCAAACCUGGAGCAGCAAAGGCGCGGGAAAGAUGAAGGUUUCCGGAUAGGAAAAUUCUUAUCAUAAGGAAAGAAAAUGACGGUACUUAACGAAUAAGCCCCGGCUAACUACGUG